CUGGGCAUCUAUCCAGAGAAAACCACGACUCGCAAAGACACAUGUACUCCAAUGUUCAUUGCAACACUAUUUACAAUAGCCAAGACAUGGAAACAACCUAAAUGUCCAUCGACAGAGGAGUGGAUCAAUAGGAUGUGGUACAUAUACACAAUGGAAUAUUACUCAGCCAUUAAAAAGAAUGAAAUACCAGCAUUUUUUGCAACAUGGAUGGACCUAGAAACUAUCAUGCUAAGUGAAGUCAGCCAUACAAUGAGACACCAACAUCAAAUGCUUUCACUGACAUGUGGAAUCUGAAAAAAGGACAGACGGAACUUCUUUGCAGAAUAGAUGCUGACUCACAGACAUUGAAAAACUUAUGGUCUCCGGAGGAGACAGUUUGGGGAGUAGGGGGAUAUGCUUGGGCUGUGGGAUGGAAAUCUUGUGAAAUCAGAUUGUUAUGAUCAUUAUACAACUAUAGAUAUGAUAAAUUCAUUUGAGUAAUAAAAAAGUAAAAAAAUAAAUUAAAAAAACAUGUAUUUAUAUUGUUUGAAUUAUUAUGAAAAUAUUCAAAAUAUUUCUAAAUUAGCUAAAGAAAAACAUAUGAGUCAAACAGAUCUUCACUCCUCCCUCUUUCCCUCCCUCAUGCCUCCUCUCCUCCUUCUCUCUUUCUCUCCUACCAUGUGCCAAGACUGCACCUUUAGUAAGCUCUGGUGAGUUUUAUUUAUUGGGAUAUGGGUCAGGUGAUGUUUAGAUUGGGACCCAUCAUCAUCAUCUCUAGGAGGUACAUGGGACCCCUGGCUUUCUGCUCUCACUCAUCACCCUUUAACACAGCCCCUGUGAGAUCCGACCCACUCUCCAACCAUGAAGCUAAUCUCCCAUCCUGCCUUCUCCCUCACCCUCCAUUAUGCCACAUCUGCAGUUGCCAAGGGCAACACUCUUUGGAUGACAUUUUAGCUUUCACACUCAACAUGCCCACUCUGAAUCUAUCUUCUUCUAACUCUCCCACAUCCAUGAGAUCUAGCUCUAUUUUCCCUUAGUAACAUCUCCCACAUUUGGUCCUCAUUCUUCAUCUAGACCAUCACAUCCCCCAUAAUGGGGAAUGGAUCUCAAGGGCCAUUUGGCCUCAUCCUCUGCCAUCACACCCCACAGGUGCUCCAGCAGCUCCAGGAGCAGGGAAAGUAGGCUCCACUGCUGAGAGCUCAAGGUGCUAUGUGUUGGCUUGAGACACCACCUGCCUCCAUGAUUUUCCCACCUUCUGCCUUCUAGCCCCAUGGAACAAAUGGGGUCUCUGAUGAAAUUUAAAGCACAUCCUGCCAUCUCUGACACCAUUCAAAUCUGCAUGUGACAUUGUUGAUACCAUCCUUCCCAGGUCAGCCCCUCUGCAAAAUACUCUCCAGAUGAAGGCCCUGAUUUGGAUGUGAGCUAAGGGUGCAUUACCCUGGGAAGCAGUCCCCUUCCUGAACAUUCCAGGACCCCUCCCCAGAGGCCUGGGCUGCAGUUACAAAGCUGAUCUCUGGGGAGAAAGUGCAUGGCAACGAAAAUACCUUGGCUCUCAAUAGCAUUUGAUAGCAACGUGGAUCACUUCUGAUGGGGCCCAGGUUUUCCAUUUUUAUAAUUUUAAAUCUUUCCGUGGAGGGCAGUAAUAUCAACUGAGAAUUAUCUGAGAAUGCCAAAAUAUACAGCAGUUUCUUUUUUAAAGUAGAGUAACUUUAAAAAAAAACAAAACAAAAAAACCCAGUAUAUUUUCCCAUACUACCUGUGAUGGUUAAUUUUAUAUGCUAAAUUUUAUAGAUCACAGUACCCUGAUAUGUGGUCAAACACCAGUCUGGAUGUUGCUGUGAAGGUACUUUUUAGAUGAGAAGUUACUUUUUAGAUGACCACACCCUGAUAUGUGGUCAAAUGUCAGUCUGGAUGAUGCUGUGAAGGUACUUCUUAGAUGAGAGUAACAUUUGAAUCAGUAGACUUUGAAUAAAGUAGCUCACCUUCUAUAAUAUCAGGGUUGGGGAAGGAGGAAGAAAUCUGAUUCAGUCAUUUGAAGGCCUGAGAAAGAGACUGACUUCCCCAAGGAAGAAGGGAGUCUGCUUCCAGCAUUUAGACUCAAGCUUCAAAAUUAACUAUUUCCUGGGUUUCAAUCUACUUCUCUGUCCUGAAGAUUUUGGACUUGUCAGCCUCCGUAGGCACACAAGCUAAUUCCUUAAAAUCAAUCAAUCUGUGUGGGGGAGGGGUGCAUGUGUUUGUCUUGCUGUCUGUUUCUCUCUCUGUCUCUCUGUCUUUGUCUGUCUAAUUAGAUAUAUGGAUAUAUAGAUAAAUGUAUUUAUAUGACUCUAUUUCUAUCUGCCUAUCUAUCCAUGCUAUUGCUUCUGUAUACCUGGAGAGCCCUGACUGACAGACUACCCUUAAGAGAUCUUUUGAAUUACAAUUAAGAAGUAUAUGCUCAUUUUUUUCCUUUAUAACUUGAUGCAUUACAAUAAUAACCACUUCUCUCACCUUUUUUGCUCUCAUAAACCCUGUAGAAGGGUUGAAGCUCAAAUAUGAACACUAACAAGGGCUCAUUAUGUAUAUUCAAGGGCUCAAGAGAUUUCUCCCUUCUACCCGUCUUUGUUCCUAUACCAUGUAUAUAUAUCUCACACAUUUUAAAGAGAAAUAUAGAGGUAAUUUUUAUUUCCAGAAAAAAACCAAUUUAUAUACAUGAGAAGUCAUUUAUUGAAAUGAAGGAUGGGAGAGUGUGAAACAAAAUAAAACCAAAUGGGUUAAAAAUGCUUCUAACACAUUUCAAAGAAAUCUAAGGGUUUUUUAUUCAUUUCCCUCUAUGGAAUAUAGUCAUUCCUUUAAUUAAUAAAGAUUAGCUGAGUUUUCUUCAUGGAAAUCUCUGCUAUGGGUCCUGGUAGGGUCUAAUGGCAUGAUCUGGACCCAAGGAGCGUGUCCAUCAUGGCUUGGAGACCAUGGGAUGUGCAAGAUCCGCACAUAAAUAACAAGGCUGCGACCAGGACUGGAAAGAGGAGAAAAGUAUACAGUGGUGUGUGGUGUGAGACAGCUCCUAUGGGUGCUGUAUAGAGGGAUGGGGAUGGAGUGGAAAACUCUUUCCAAAAGGAACAGCCAACAGGUACAUGGGCCCAAGGCCCAGGGUGUAUGGGUGGUGCAGGGAGCAAUAAUAACAGCUGUCUGGAUGCAGCGUAAAAGUCAUGCUGGGAGAAGCAGUAAAAUGGAAGGUGGGGAGUAACUGAGACCAGGUGUGGCCUGGUGGUGCAGCAUUUAGGCCUUUUGCCACAGAACUAUGCUCAUGGAUUACAGAAGUUCAAGUCGGCCACAUUCUUCUGCAAUUGCACAAAAGAGGUUCCAGUUUUAACGGGUAUCUGGUAAGACGUUCCUGAAGUAACUUCUCCCAAUUCUCCCCCAAAAUGCCCAUGAAAACAAGUUAUAAAAUGACAGAAACUCACAUGAUUCAAGAUGAGAAAACAGUCAACUGACCACCCUAAGUGGCGGGAAAUUUCCCCCCAAACAGGUCGAUGUGAUGAGAUCCAGCAGCAUGUUUUUCCAGCCUGUUCUUUUUUUUUUAAAGUAUAAACAAAGCAAACUCUUUUCCAAUAAAAGGAAAGAUAGUAUUCAGGAACCUUCCCUCACUGUCUGUUAUCUACUCAGAAACAUAAGAACCGUACCCACAAAAAAACUGAACUGCAAAAUUACUGUUGAAUUUUGAGUUAGUCAGAGGGCUGUUUCCCACCCAUUAGCAUAUGCCUCAUCUUUGCCUUGUCCUUUAUGUACAGUGGAGCUGCCAGACUCCCAGGGUCUGAGGGAUGGGCAAUCAGAACAAGUCACACUGCAUCCUGGGAAAUACAGCCUCUGCCAUUUCUUACUCUCCAUCAGUGGCUCCAGUUCUUGACUUUCUUCCUCCUGUGGUACCCACAUAGGCAAGUUCUCUGCUCACACACCCUGUGUUCCAGGAGGGCAUAGUUCAACACCCACUCAUGACAAAUAUUUUCAACAAUCUCAAGUGGAAAGGAAAUUCUUUAGAAAAAAAACUCUACAGAAAACAUCAUACUUCUGGUAAAUCAUUGAAAGUUUUCUUACUGACAUUGUACAUAAGACAAGGAUUCUAGCUAUUACCAUUUCAAGUGAAACUUAUGAUGGAAAUUGGCAUGGGGGGGGUCAGAAGUCAGCAUAGUGGUCACUCAAAGGGCAGUGAGGGAUGGAAGAGGAGAGGUACUCACAGAGUUUUGUAAAAUCUGUUUCUGGAUCUGAUUUGGGUUAUAGGGGAUAUUCCCUUUGUGAAAAUUCUUCAGAAUAAACACUUAGGAUUUGUGCUGACUUGGAAAAAACCUCCAAGAUGUAUUGGUGUGUGAAAAAAGGUGAACUGCAGAACCAUACAUGCCACAUGACCCCAUUUGUGGAUAUGUGCAAGUAUUAAAAUUUUUAAAAAAUGAGAAAGUGAUUGGUAAAAGGAAAAUUUUACUUUUUAUUCUUACAUAAUUCAGCUUGUUUAUAGCAAAACUAUAUUUAUGUUUUACUUAAAUAAAAUCAAUUUCAAUAUUUUCUAAAUGGAGGCAGAAGAGAGCCUACUCUGUUUUCAUAGACUUGUGCAGGGUGGCGAGCCUAGGGGGAACAGAGCCUUGCCUUUGCUGGCAGGGUCCUGCUGUAGGAGGGGGACAGGGAACCAGGGGCAAUCAGGGCUCCACCUCCAGCGCCACCUUCUGGGCACUGGGUGAUUUUGGCAAGUGGCUUAGACAGGGACUUGCUGUCCUUGUGCAGAAAGAAAGAAGGGGAAAACAACGAGGUAAACAACCUAGUUCUGCUGUGUGGAAUCUGGCUUUCUCCAUCUUUCACUCCAUCCUGUCCCUGCAGCCCGCCCCCUCCCUGUGUGGGACUUGAGCAAAUGUUUGUGGGAGAAUUAGACUACUCGACUCAACGUUGACUUUCUGUCAACUUCCAUUUCAUCCUAAAGCCAGAGAGCAAUGACCUUGAGGGGUAUGGUUUUAAGAGGUGCUGUUAACUCUGGACGAAAUGGGGAGCUGGUUCCUGCACGGUCUGGGGGAAGAGUACCCCCCUCCCCCAGAUCUUCAUUUCCCUGACAGCUUUUCAAGACACAGUUGCUAUUUGUCCUUUGGUGCCUGAGUGGGGAGACAAAGUCUGAGACCAUAACUUUAACAGGGAAAAACUACAAACAAAUAGCAAGGAAUAAAUCCAAGUUUAAAAAUAAACAGUCUGCACAGUUAACUCUUCAGGGCAAUGUAUUGGUGAGUGAGCUGAGUGACGGAUCACCCAGCUGCCUACAGCCAGCAGAAUGCUUUCUUAUCAGCCUCACUAAUUGUUCAGAUGGAGAUAGAACACACUUCCCUCCAGAAUGGACCCACUCAGUGGACCUUAGAGCUUACCCUUGUCACCUAGUUUACAUUUAUCUAAUUCCCCCAUCCCCGCCUUGGAAUACAGUUCCAAACCCAAGCCCCCAGCUAGCACACGGGGACUUACGUUAGCAUCCACCCUCUUACUGUGGCUACCUGGGGCUGCAUCGGGCUGCGUGUGUCCCAUCAUUACCAUCGCCUGCAUCUCCUUAACUACAGCUGAGAUUAAUGUCAUCUUGGGGAGCAGAAGCCCUUGCAGUAGUCAGCAGGGGCCGUAAAGGAGCAGAUGCCUCCCCCUCCAGUCACGUACUGCACUCGGUUGAGGCCAAGCCUUUGGUGAGUUGUCAAAAGGCAUCACUACCUCUUAUUUGGAUGGGUCUUCAUUAAUCCUUCAUUGGAGAUUUAAUUGGCACCACCUUAGGGCACCGUGUGUUUAUAAAAUGAUAUACAACUUCAGACAUUCAUUAGCACUGUCAGUGCCUUUGGAAUGAUAAAUAGCAGGAAGGCUCAGUCGAAAUGCUUCUGGAGCUAAUCCCAAAUUAACUUUUCUCUACCCUGCCAAGAAGAAAUAUGAGAGCAGUGAAGGUUUUAUGAUAGCCCAUAAUCUCAUGAUUAAACAAGCGGCUGAGAAAAAAAAUGGGACAAUGCAUUAUGUUUUAAUUGAAAUCCAGGAAUCAAAAUAAACACCAGUGUCUCAGAGCCCUUCUGGUGACAAGGCCUAAUGCUCCUACAUUUUAACACUAAACCCCAGUGCCACACACAAUGUGCUGAGUGCGGAGUCUGUCACCAAAGCAUACUCAGCCCUACCCAGGGCUCGUAUCUGUGCGUUUAUUUUUUGAUCAGGAUAAAUGGGCUGUUUCCAAGACUCCGUUUCUACACGUCCUCCUCACUCCAACAGUUGCCCAAAUUAAACCUUUGGAAUUCUACGGGUAGAUAAGGUUUAACUUUACCGACAAGAAAAUAACUCAAUUCCAUUAGGGGAACCACCCCAGUCUGGAGAAAAUAUGAGAGGGAUUGGAGUGUCUUUAGUUGAACACCAAGGAGAGGAAGCAAAGGUAGGAAGAAGCUGUUGUUUGCACUCUGGAGAGUUAUGUAAACUGGAGCUUAACUUUCCCUCCAGACCACCCAGUUUUAUCUCUUUAGGAAAACAUUAGCACAUUGGAAAUGCCUGGAGAAUCUCUGGAAGCCUCUUUGGAAUUAACAAGAAGAGGCUCCCAUUUCAUGGUCCAUGAACAGAAGAUGAACCAGCACACU
This 6569-nucleotide long non-coding RNA is filed under the name Sus scrofa (pig). Its description in RNAcentral is "lncRNA (ENSSSCG00000054351.1)". Lineage: Eukaryota; Metazoa; Chordata; Mammalia; Artiodactyla; Suidae. The record is from RNAcentral.